RNAcentral lists this ribosomal RNA (433 nucleotides) under uncultured bacterium. RNAcentral describes it as "partial 16S ribosomal RNA". It matches the Rfam family "Bacterial small subunit ribosomal RNA", at positions 29 to 507 of the family's 1533-position model. The record is from RNAcentral.
AACGAACGCUGGCGGCAUGCCUAACACAUGCAAGUCGAACGAGACCUUCGGGUCUAGUGGCGCACGGGUGCGUAACGCGUGGGAACCUGCCCUUAGGUUCGGAAUAACUCCCCGAAAGGGGUGCUAAUACCGGAUAAUGUCUUCGGACCAAAGAUUUAUCGCCUUUGGAUGGGCCCGCGUUGGAUUAGCUAGUUGGUAGGGUAAAAGCCUACCAAGGCGACGAUCCAUAGCUGGUCUGAGAGGAUGAUCAGCCACACUGGGACUGAGAUACGGCCCAGACUCCUACGGGAGGCAGCAGUGGGGAAUAUUGGACAAUGGGCGAAAGCCUGAUCCAGCAAUGCCGCGUGAGUGAUGAAGGCGUUAGGGUUGUAAAGCUCUUUUACCCGGGAUGAUAAUGACAGUACCGGGAGAAUAAGCUCCGGCUAACUCCGUG